AUGAACGCUGGCGGCGUGCCUCAUCCAUGCAAGUCGAGCGAACAGACGAGGAGCUUGCUCCUCUGACGUUAGCGGCGGACGGGUGAGUAACACGUGGAUAACCUACCUAUAAGACUGGGAUAACUUCGGGAAACCGGAGCUAAUACCGGAUAAUAUAUUGAACCGCAUGGUUCAAUAGUGAAAGACGGUUUUGCUGUCACUUAUAGAUGGAUCCGCGCCGCAUUAGCUAGUUGGUAAGGUAACGGCUUACCAAGGCAACGAUGCGUAGCCGACCUGAGAGGGUGAUCGGCCACACUGGAACUGAGACACGGUCCAGACUCCUACGGGAGGCAGCAGUAGGGAAUCUUCCGCAAUGGGCGAAAGCCUGACGGAGCAACGCCGCGUGAGUGAUGAAGGUCUUCGGAUCGUAAAACUCUGUUAUUAGGGAAGAACAAAUGUGUAAGUAACUAUGCACGUCUUGACGGCACCUAAUCAGAAAGCCACGGCUAACUACGUG
This 496-nucleotide ribosomal RNA is filed under the name uncultured bacterium. RNAcentral describes it as "partial 16S ribosomal RNA". It matches the Rfam family "Bacterial small subunit ribosomal RNA", at positions 29 to 507 of the family's 1533-position model. The record is from RNAcentral.